This 465-nucleotide ribosomal RNA is filed under the name Vreelandella stevensii. RNAcentral's name for it is "partial 16S ribosomal RNA". It matches the Rfam family "Bacterial small subunit ribosomal RNA", at positions 338 to 795 of the family's 1533-position model. The record is from RNAcentral. Lineage: Bacteria; Pseudomonadati; Pseudomonadota; Gammaproteobacteria; Oceanospirillales; Halomonadaceae.
CCUACGGGAGGCAGCAGUGGGGAAUAUUGGACAAUGGGCGAAAGCCUGAUCCAGCCAUGCCGCGUGUGUGAAGAAGGCCUUCGGGUUGUAAAGCACUUUCAGUGGGGAAGAAAGCCUUGGGGCUAAUACCCUCGAGGAAGGACAUCACCCACAGAAGAAGCACCGGCUAACUCCGUGCCAGCAGCCGCGGUAAUACGGAGGGUGCGAGCGUUAAUCGGAAUUACUGGGCGUAAAGCGCGCGUAGGCGGUCUGAUAAGCCGGUUGUGAAAGCCCCGGGCUCAACCUGGGAACGGCAUCCGGAACUGUCAGGCUAGAGUGCAGGAGAGGAAGGUAGAAUUCCCGGUGUAGCGGUGAAAUGCGUAGAGAUCGGGAGGAAUACCAGUGGCGAAGGCGGUCUUCUGGACUGACACUGACGCUGAGGUGCGAAAGCGUGGGUAGCAAACAGGAUUAGAUACCCCGGUAGUC